UUUCCGUCGUGGAUUGCGGCUGCGUCCAGCACUGGGCAAUGUAGGUUGUUUGACUUGAGAAGUGGAAAGAUUAUUUCUUCAUGGCAGGCUCAUGAUGGAUAUGUGACAGAGUUGGCUGCAACUGCAGAUUAUCAGCUUGUUUCUAGUUCUCGAAUAUGGGAUUUGAGAAGGAAUUGGAGCGCGGAACAGAG
Salvia splendens (bonfire salvia) is the source of this 191-nucleotide long non-coding RNA. RefSeq lists it as uncharacterized. The record is from RefSeq and is a predicted model, not a curated record. Lineage: Eukaryota; Viridiplantae; Streptophyta; Magnoliopsida; Lamiales; Lamiaceae. The transcript is spliced from 3 exons.